UGCAAGUCGAACGCCCCGCAAGGGGAGUGGCAGACGGGUGAGUAACGCGUGGGAACAUACCCUUUCCUGCGGAAUAGCUCCGGGAAACUGGAAUUAAUACCGCAUACGCCCUACGGG
Molecule: ribosomal RNA, 117 nt
Filed under: Mesorhizobium sp. M4B.F.Ca.ET.150.01.1.1
Lineage: Bacteria; Pseudomonadati; Pseudomonadota; Alphaproteobacteria; Hyphomicrobiales; Phyllobacteriaceae
Description: partial 16S ribosomal RNA
Rfam family: Bacterial small subunit ribosomal RNA
Source: RNAcentral